Camelus dromedarius (Arabian camel) is the source of this 1984-nucleotide long non-coding RNA. Lineage: Eukaryota; Metazoa; Chordata; Mammalia; Artiodactyla; Camelidae. The record is from Ensembl.
CUGAGCGCAGCCAGGGCGCGCGUGAUUAAUGGCCCCGAGGUCCGGGGCAGCUCAGGAACGAGCCCCUUCUUGGCUCGGCCAGUGUGUAAAGGUAUCCGGGAGGAGAGCCAGGCCAUGGCAGUGGGGGCCCCGGGGACCGCGGCGGCGGCGGCGGAGGAGGUGAAGGAGGAAGAGAAGUAGGUGACGCGGACCGGACCGGACCGGACCGGAGAGGCUUAUCUCCUCUGGCCCCGGGGUUGGCACCUCCGCCGGUCCCCCGCGCCAGCAAAGUUUGAAGCCACAGGCGCCGCGCUGCGCCGCGCGCCGGUCCCUCCCCGUGCAGUUCCCUCGGUGGGGUCUGUGCUGCCGCCGCUGCCAGGGCAGGACAAAGGCUCAUUAACACGUGAUGGGACCGCGCUUCAUAAAUGGGACCGGAGCGAGAGGGAGCCAGAGACAGAGCGCGAGCGGAGGGAGAGGCAGGGACCGCGCGAGCUGGGCUAGGCGACCGGCGCCCGGGCUGGCGGAAACGGGCGGCCCCACGCCGGGCCAGGCGGGGCGAGCGGGAGGACCCAGUGAGGAGCCCCGGGAAGGGGCGAGGCUCGCGGGCAGAGGGGGCGCCAGUCCGGAUCGCUGUCGAGGGCGGGCGCUGGAGGCAGGGGACGCCGGCGCGCGCGCUGCGCGGACCGACUGACUUACUGACCGACAGACGGAGGCACACCCCGCUCCACCCCACCCUGCCUCGCCCGCAUCCCCGCGCCGGCGCCGCCUCCCUCUCGCUACUCUCUCGGCCACCCCUUCCUUCUCCACUUCUUUUCCGCCUCCGCCUCUUCUGGGCUCCCGCGGCGCCAGUGCCUUUCCCUGGCCCGGGCGGGGCGCCUCGGCUCCCUGCAGAGCUCUCCGUACAGUCAGGGGGCACGUUUCGUUCUAGCAGAGAAGCAGCCCCUGCGCCGGGUGAGAGGUGCCAAGGGAGCUUCUCCCCCGAGGACCGGGGGAUGCGAAGGCUUUUGUACAAGUUAUGGUGAACAAGCAAUAUGCCUGUGGAGAAAAAGGGAAAAAACGUUAAAAGAAAAAGACUAAACGACUUAACACAUAACCAAAGUAAGCAAAAGAUUGUCCAAAGAAAUCUGUAUCUUUGCAUCUGUGGAAAUUUGACUUUUGAAAAUGUACACCUGCCUUUGGAAAUCGUAUCUAAGUUCAUACAAAUAAAAAAGGGAAAUCUUUGAAUGAUUUUAGUCCUCAGCUAAGGAAACUAAUUAUGAGUAAUCUAUGAUCCAUUUUUAUUGAUGAAAUAAUUAGAGAGGGAACAGUCUGCCCAGAGUCGUGUAUUUAAGUGCUUUGGGAUACAUUUCAAUAUAUUUAUAACUUGUAGGUAUUUUUGAAAGAUACUUGCCAGCUAUACGCAGUGUAAAUUGCAUAAUUGCCAGGGUAACUCUGUAAGAUAAUUUGCAGUAGAUUUGCAUUACUUGGGCCUACUGCAACAUUUCCAGUUUAGUUUGCCAUUUCCUGGGUUCAUCUCCUGUGAUACAUUAUUUUAUGGUUUUGAGAAAAGAAGAACAGAAACAGAAACAUUUCCAGCUUAAAAAAAUAAUAGUCUGGGAUGUUACUUUUACUUUUUUCUGUUCCUUUACACUCAGUAAUCAUGAGUUCCUUCACAAUGGUAUUGAAAGACUUGGUUAGCAAUGCUGUAAAACUUUGCAUAGACUUUGUACAUAGAAUUAAGAGAAAAGGGUGUGCAGUUUUAAAUUUAUGUCUGCAUACUGGGUAAGUACAUAUUAUGUCUUGAAGCCACUUUUCUUUGCUGAUAUAGACCAAAGGGAGAGCAAGUAAGUUUCCGGAAAAAGUGCAGAGAAGCCCGGGAUUGUAGACUGGAAAUCCUCGAGAGCUUCUCCACUCCUUAUGCUCACUUUCAGGGCUAGACUACACUGUUCUAUUCCAGCCAAAUAAAAAUUGCUUGAUUUUAAAGAUCUCCUGUGAGGGACCACUUCAUCAUGAGCAGUCUCCCUGG